This is a non-coding RNA of Stegodyphus mimosarum, 73 nucleotides long. NCBI's taxonomy places the organism in Eukaryota, Metazoa, Arthropoda, Arachnida, Araneae, Eresidae. The record is from Rfam.
GCCUUCGUGGUGUAAUGGUCAGCACACUGAGCCGGUAUUUCAGAGGUCCGCGGUUCGAUCCCCGGCGAAGUCG